CCAGGAAGCUAAUCCUGAAGACGGAUGCUGUACGGUCAUUGACAGUGGAUCUUACAAGCGCCGACCAUAAUAACUGCUAGCACACAGCAGGCAAAAGGAACGCUGUCCACAAAAGGAGUUGCGCUACAACCACCGCAGCAGGGAUGGUGUGAUACAGCUUUCCCAAGGCAAAGAAGGGAGUGGUAUACUGUGAAGCCUGUGAACACAGACCCAACGUCCCUAUUACAGGCUUCGCAGACUGGCUCCUGGAUAUCCUCUACAACGAGGUCACCCUGGACUGAGAUCCGUAUGUGGGGAAGCUGUGCGAGCUGUCCAUCCCAGGACCCCUGUCUGCCCAGUGUGAGAGGCCUGACAAGGAAGAGGCCAUAGCUGGAUUUGUCUCCCACUUCAAUCAUGGGGGUGACUGAAGCCUGCUCGAUUUGAAGCAGGGUACAUGGGUCCUCCACCUUUCCCGCUCCCCUCCCCAUCAAUCUCUGUAGUUGGUUGCAUUUCUUAAAGCCUAACUAAUUCACUUUUACGUGAUCUGAUAUCACAUUUCGUUACGUUGUAUUAUUUUAUUUAAGCAUUCGGACGGGAGAUGAUUGUUACAAAUUGUACGAAUCAAUGGGUCCUGCACACUGUCUAUAUUGGGCUUAUGGCUCUAAUAUUUUUUUAUGUGAAAUUAUGUCUCACUAUUAUUUCUCACCUUUAUUUCUCAUGAUUGUUCACGUUGAUCAAUAUUUUGGCUGUGCUGGCCUGUUGUAAAAUAUAAAAAUAAAUGUCUGAUCAAUACGCUGUUUUCAUGUACAUUCCCUUAUGUCUAACAACACUGAACACCUCCCUCUGCAACUGGAUCCUUGACUUCCUAGGUAGGCCUGAUUACUGACGACGAUGAGACAGCCUAUAGGGAGGAGGUCAGAGACAACAACCUCUCCCUCAACGUCAGCAAGACAAAGGAGCUGAUCGUGGACUACAGGA
RNAcentral lists this long non-coding RNA (957 nucleotides) under Salmo salar (Atlantic salmon). RNAcentral's name for it is "lncRNA (ENSSSAG00000085117.1)". Lineage: Eukaryota; Metazoa; Chordata; Actinopteri; Salmoniformes; Salmonidae. The record is from RNAcentral.